CCUUUAUUGCGCAAAACAGCAGCAUAGAAACCCUAAAAAGGAAAAGAAUUAAUACAUUAAAAAAGUGAGCUAGCAGAGAUCUCAGUAUUAGCCAAUAAUUGUCCAAGCUGUGCAAUAUUCUCAUUGGCAUACAAAACAUUGGGCCUGUAUAUUGCCCUUUACUUAACAGUAACAAGAAAUCAGAAAACCAGUGAUUACAACACUUUUUUUUCAUAUUCCACAAAUGGAAAAAUGUUUACAUUCAUCAUAAUACUUUUGUUACAGUAAGUGUUACAAAGUGAAUGCAUACAUUCUAGCUGCUUCUCCUUAGACAUACUAGGUUAGGGUGGGUUCCCCCUCUCCAAACCAAGUUUCUCAUCGCGAUGCAACGGUAGCUUGUGCCCCUAAUGAGUGCCAUAGAUGCUUGUGGUGCACUUGUCAGCUCAGCUUGGAUUCAAUGGUUUGUCAGUAACUGGUAUGUAAUCCUUUAAAGGAAACAAAGCCAAACUACAACUGCAAAAGAAGAAAAAAAAUCUUUGGCCCCUUAGAAUAACAAAGCGAGUGGUCGAUGUAAAAGAGGGAUGAGCAGUGUGGAAGCAAAGAUCUAUUAAUAGGGGUGAGGUUGAGAGAGGCCAUCUAUAAUCAGUUUUCAUUAAUGCUAAUAAGAGCCUUUGGAUUUGGAUUUAUGAAGAGUAAUGUGAUUUAGGAAUUAUUUUGAGGAUUCUGUAGCCAUGGAUCAUAGAUUUUGUGAAAACUUUAGUGG
This is a non-coding RNA of Pelobates cultripes (western spadefoot toad), 742 nucleotides long. NCBI's taxonomy places the organism in Eukaryota, Metazoa, Chordata, Amphibia, Anura, Pelobatidae. The record is from the annotation of a GenBank genome assembly.